RNAcentral lists this long non-coding RNA (305 nucleotides) under Homo sapiens (human). RNAcentral's name for it is "non-protein coding lnc-POLL-7:1". Lineage: Eukaryota; Metazoa; Chordata; Mammalia; Primates; Hominidae. The record is from RNAcentral.
AGUAAUUAAAUUACAUUAUUUAAAUUGUGUUCAAAACAAGACGUGUCUACAUUGUAUUCUGACUUAUUACACUUUUUUUUUUUUUUUUUUUUUGAGACAGUCUCACUCUGUCACCCAGGCUGCAGUGCAGUGGGUGUGAUCUCGGCUGACUGCUAUCUCCGCCUCCCAGGUUCAAGCGAUUCGCGUGCCUUAGCCUCCCAAGCAGCUGGGAUCACAGGCAUGUACUACCACGCCUGGCUAAUUUUUUGGAUUUUUAGUAGUGACUGGGUUUCACCAUGCUACCCAGGCUGGUCUCAAAUUCGUGA